Molecule: ribosomal RNA, 797 nt
Filed under: Arthrobacter sp.
Lineage: Bacteria; Bacillati; Actinomycetota; Actinomycetes; Micrococcales; Micrococcaceae
Description: bacterial SSU rRNA
Rfam family: Bacterial small subunit ribosomal RNA
Source: RNAcentral
UGCAGUCGACGAUGAUCCCUAGCUUGCUGGGGGGAUUAGUGGCGAACGGGUGAGUAACACGUGAGUAACCUGCCCUUGACUCUGGGAUAAGCCUGGGAAACUGGGUCUAAUACUGGAUAUGACCGACUAUCGCAUGGUGGUUGGUGGAAAGCUUUUGUGGUUUUGGAUGGACUCGCGGCCUAUCAGCUUGUUGGUGGGGUAAUGGCCUACCAAGGCGACGACGGGUAGCCGGCCUGAGAGGGUGGACGGCCACACUGGGACUGAGACACGGCCCAGACUCCUACGGGAGGCAGCAGUGGGGAAUAUUGCACAAUGGGCGCAAGCCUGAUGCAGCGACGCCGCGUGAGGGAUGAAGGCCUUCGGGUUGUAAACCUCUUUCAGUAGGGAAGAAGCGAAAGUGACGGUACCUGCAGAAGAAGCGCCGGCUAACUACGUGCCAGCAGCCGCGGUAAUACGUAGGGCGCAAGCGUUAUCCGGAAUUAUUGGGCGUAAAGAGCUCGUAGGCGGUUUGUCGCGUCUGCCGUGAAAGUCCGGGGCUUAACUCCGGAUCUGCGGUGGGUACGGGCAGACUUGAGUGAUGUAGGGGAGACUGGAAUUCCUGGUGUAGCGGUGAAAUGCGCAGAUAUCAGGAGGAACACCGAUGGCGAAGGCAGGUCUCUGGGCAUUAACUGACGCUGAGGAGCGAAAGCAUGGGGAGCGAACAGGAUUAGAUACCCUGGUAGUCCAUGCCGUAAACGUUGGGCACUAGGUGUGGGGGACAUUCCACGUUUUCCGCGCCGUAGCUAACGCAUUAAGUG